UCCCUGGUGGUCCAGUGGUUAAGAUUCCACGCUCCCAAAGCAGGGGUCCGGGUUAGAUUCCUGGUCAGGGAA
Molecule: transfer RNA, 72 nt
Filed under: Ovis aries (sheep)
Lineage: Eukaryota; Metazoa; Chordata; Mammalia; Artiodactyla; Bovidae
Rfam family: tRNA
About the family: Transfer RNA (tRNA) molecules are approximately 80 nucleotides in length.
Source: Rfam by way of RNAcentral